RNAcentral lists this long non-coding RNA (1259 nucleotides) under Daphnia pulex (common water flea). Its description in RNAcentral is "uncharacterized LOC124197597, transcript variant X1". Lineage: Eukaryota; Metazoa; Arthropoda; Branchiopoda; Diplostraca; Daphniidae. The record is from RNAcentral.
AGUGUCGCCCUUGUUGUUGUUACAUCGUGAAACGAGGCAAAAUGGGCGAAACAAUUGGUUGCUAAUUUUUUCAUAGAUCAAGUUUAUUUAUAGAUCGUGUUUAUACUUAUAUUCCUGUGAUUUCUUAUCCCAAAUUGAACUUUGUAACUUAUGCAGGUUUUUUUCUUGACCGAAUUUCCUUAUUAUUGUACUGUACCAACUUUUUUCUACCAAAUUUUAGAUGCAUAGCCCUACUGUAAGUCAUUCCGACAAGUUGACUUUUAGCUCUCAGUAACUUUCUAUCCAAUAGACCCAUCAUGCUGUCUAAGCCUAAAACUCAUGUUUGAAGCCCACACUUAGAGGAAUAAAAAUGUAUCGAGAUAAGGAUCUUUUCUGAAUCUUGCAAUUUUGGUGACGUACCCUGCAACAUCAUGUUUGUUGUUGUGGCUGUUUUUUCUUUGGUUUAGAAGGCAACCCAGCUAAGACUAAGAGUUUCAGUGACAUGAAGAGUGUGAAGUGAAUAACCUGAAACCUGCAUGCAAUGUGUAUGUACAUGAACCAUUAUUGUAUUUGUUUGGUUGCUUCCUUGAUGUUAAAAUGUUGGCUGAAUUCGGAUGACGGGUUAGAUGACACAUGCAACCUUUUCUGUUGAAUAUCUAUGCAGUGCAGAAUUAGUAGGUCACUAGAGCAGCACGCACUUGAUUCCUUCCAUCUCAGAUGGAAAAAGGACUCGUCUAUUCUGUGAUUUUAUGUCAUCAGGAAACUUGGGAUGCUCUAAUUAUUAUCAUACUUGUGUACCCAACCAGGUUUUAUGUUUUCACGCUCCUAUCCACGGACGGAUGAAAAUUACUCGGCUUACUUUACAUGGGUAGUCAAUUUUACCGGAAUAAUACGCCGUGACAAUUUACGUAACGAACAGCUCGAGAAGUUCUUCUAUCCCCGGGGGAACAUUACGUAAAACUGUAAAUGUUGUGGAGUAGAGACCCAUCCCCCAACCUGCAGAAGGAAAGGCCAGUUUGCAUUUUCUUCAAUCGAAGGUCACGGAGAUCAUUAGGUAAAAACGUUUCAUGCAGUGAUGUAGAGGUUGGGUGAGAACGGGAAGUUUUGCAUUAUUAUCAAGAAGGUAGAAUAACCGCAAGGCUUAAGAGGAGGGGUGAGAAAAAGUCGUAUAAAAAGGCGAGAGAAAAGUCGACAGGGAUCAGUCGAGCGAGUAUCUCCGACACGGUAACAUCUACAGUGCACUUUUUGCCACUAGCUGCAUUCAUCAGUUUUCAAUCAUG